RNAcentral lists this long non-coding RNA (1183 nucleotides) under Anas platyrhynchos platyrhynchos (common mallard). RNAcentral's name for it is "lncRNA (ENSAPLG00000026617.1)". Lineage: Eukaryota; Metazoa; Chordata; Aves; Anseriformes; Anatidae. The record is from RNAcentral.
AUGAAGAAGUCUUUACUCUGCACACCACUGCUGACCCCAGAUAUGACCCACAGGAACUACUGGCGAAAGGAGCAAAAAGGGGAAAAGAAUUAUCUUCCUGAUGGUCUUGCGUCCUCUGUGCUGGAUCUGCAGCUGUUUUCCACCUGUAAACUUGCCACUUGUUGGUCAAGCUUUUCGGCACUUAUUCAAAUAAAAUUCUUAGGCACUCAGUUGAGAUUGGUAAUUUUUUUGUUUUGGUUGGCAUAAGAACUGAAGAAAACAUGCCCAGAUCAGGGACCAGCCAACAUCCUCUUUAACUGCAGCCAGCAGAACCGAUGUGCUUUGGAUACAGCUAACAAAUAUUGGAGGCCUGAGAGGAUACCGUUCGUUUUUCCUUCUCUGACCUGCUAGUACUGCUUCACUCCCCUGCUCUGUGCAAGCAGGUAGGAACUCUGAGCUUCUUUUUACACAGCCCAGGAAGAUGCAAUGUCCUUUUCUAUCUGAAGCUGCUGAAUCUGCCAUAUACCAGGUUCACCACAUUACUAACACAGCGUUGAGCCUGAUCCUGCUAGAAGAAGCAUUUCUGUAGACAGUAUUUGGGCCACAUCAGGACUACAGUGUUAGCAAUGAAUAAGGUAGAGAAAAUAAUGGUGCUUUUGUAUCCUGAUGUGUAUCCUCUGUCCAAUACUGAUAAGCAUAUUACUGAUAAUAUGGCCAUAAUUCUGGUUAUAGUACAGUUCUCCUUGACACUCCCAUUGUUCAUACUCCAGUCUCCCAAAUAAGUGAGGUUGAAUUAGGCUUAUUACUGUUUUUCACUCUUAGAUUACCCUCUUAGUGUACUGGACUCCAGCCCCUUUAAUUAAAAGCUUGUGAACAUGCAUCCCAUAAAUAAUUUCUCACCUUCACAGCUGUUUUUUUUUUUUUUUUUUUCUUUUUUUUUUUUUUUUCUUUUUAAACGGAGCUAAUUGAUGUUUUUGAGAAAACAUUUUCCUAUUCUUUUCCUACUGUUAUGAUUCUCUUCAAUUUUUCAGUUCUGGAAACACUACCAUGACUUAUUCAUUUUGCAAUCAUAGAGACAUUUCCUAAAAUGUAUAGAAACAGUUUCUCAGUGAACAUGUACAAUUUUUCAUCUCUCAUUAAAGACCAUAAAUUUUUAUCCCAGCUACUCAUCAGAUAGUAUUGAUAAUUACUUUUGUUAACCAAC